Molecule: long non-coding RNA, 426 nt
Filed under: Mustela putorius furo (domestic ferret)
Lineage: Eukaryota; Metazoa; Chordata; Mammalia; Carnivora; Mustelidae
Description: lncRNA (ENSMPUG00000029197.1)
Source: RNAcentral
AUGGACCCGGUGAUGGAAGCAGGUGGGGUUGAUAAAGCUUGCUUCAAGCAACAACUGUCUUCAGGAUGGAUGGACCCUCCGAGGAACAGAUACCUACCAUGGAGUUGUGGAAUGCAGCCCCGGGAGAAACACCUACCAAGGAGAGAAGCAUUUAUAACUUUUGUGGGGUGGGGUAAAGAUAGAGUAAUUUAUUGCUGACAAAAGAAUGUUUUUCUUCCAUCAAAAAUAGAAUUUAUUGUCUGUAUAAUGUGUGGAGUCUCCAGACUGGAAAAGCAACAUUUUGUCAGAGAUGCUUUGCCUGGUAACACCCACCCCAGACACCAGAAUUCUUUAAAAAAAAAUCAAAAUAAACAUUUUUCUUUAAAAUGAAUACAGGCUAUUGUAGAAAAUUUAUGCAUGCAGAAAUUAAAAUCUUUCAUAAUCUGA